Molecule: unclassified non-coding RNA, 241 nt
Filed under: uncultured Helotiales
Lineage: Eukaryota; Fungi; Ascomycota; Leotiomycetes; Helotiales
Description: sequence contains ITS2
Rfam family: 5.8S ribosomal RNA (bases 1-52)
Source: RNAcentral
AACGCACAUUGCGCCCUGUGGUAUUCCGCAGGGCAUGCCUGUUCGAGCGUCAGUACAACACUCAAGCCUAGCUUGGUCUUGGGCCUCGCCGGAAACGGCGGGCCUUAAAAGUAGUGGCGGCGCCCGCUGGGCUCUAAGCGUAGUAAUACUCCUCGCUAUAGGGACUCGGUGGAUGCUGGCCAGCAACCCCCAACUUUCUAAGUUUGACCUCGGAUCAGGUAGGGAUACCCGCUGAACUUAA